Long non-coding RNA from Camelus dromedarius (Arabian camel), 5191 nucleotides. RefSeq lists it as uncharacterized. Lineage: Eukaryota; Metazoa; Chordata; Mammalia; Artiodactyla; Camelidae. The record is from RefSeq and is a predicted model, not a curated record. The transcript has 5 exons.
AAAAGAGGAAGAAAAUGCUUUUUGCUUUUGGUCACAUGUCCUAAGAGUUCAGCAAUCAUCCUGAGGUUUUGGAGCUUCCCAAGAGAGAAGUUUCUUAGAGGAAAUCCGACUACAGGAAGAUGAGCAGCAGGAAUAUGUACCGAGAGCUUCUCGCAGGCUUGUUCUCUACUGCUUAUACCUUUCCACCUGUACCCAAUGACUUAAGAAGCUCUAAGAAUUUGGGAAUCUGAAGAGAUAUUUGCACCCCCAUGUUCACUGCAGCAUUAUUCAAUAGCCAAGCUCUAGAAACAACCUAAGUGUCUAACAGCGAAUGAAUGGAUAAAGAAAAUGUGGUCCCAGCUCCCUGCUCUGGCACCGGCUCUAAAUGCUCUUUUGCAGUCAUGACCAGCAGUUUGAGUUUACAGUGAACUACUUUGCUAAUUGGAGAAUAGAGCUGGAUCCCUACCUUAUACAACAUACAAAACUGGAAUUUAGAUGGAUGAGAUGUAAGUGGGAAAGGUAAAGCUAAAUGGACAGCAUCUAAUGUAAUCUAAGGAGGCAAAAAUUAAAAAAAAAUAGGAAUCUAAAAGCAAAAUCACAAAGCAAAAAAAAGUGAUGGCUUUUAUCAUAUUAUUAUUAAAAUGUUUUAGUCACAAAGAACAUCAUAGACAAUAUUAAGUGAUAGAUGACAGGUAGAAGCUAUUUAAGUCAUUAAAGCCAACAAGGGAUUAAUAUCUAGAAUAUACAAAAAUGACCACUAAUCAUGAAGAAAAAAACAAGAAACCCAACAGAAAACUGGAGAAAGGAUAUAAAUAAGCAGGUCACUGAAAGAAAAGUCCAAAUAGCUACUAAAUAUAUAGAAAGAUCCUCAAUAUUAGAAAUAUUUAGAAAUAUGUCAAUAAAAGACAAAGCAAUACCGCUUUAAUACCACCAGAACUGCAAAAAUUGUAAAAGUGAAUAAUACCAAGGGUUACUGAUAUUGUGAGCAAAUGGGCCCUCUUGUGUACUAUUCUUGAGAGUCUUAAUAUUACAGACUUCAGUAAGUGGCUUACUUUACAUAUAAAAGUUUUUCAAAAUAUUUUGUGAUUCUAUUCAUUAUAAUACAAUCAUGACUGUAAAUGUACCAAUUAAAAAAAUCCUCAUUUUAUUUUAUAUAUAUAUAAAAUAUAUAUCUCUCUCCAAGUUCUAUAAUGGAUGCUUGUUUUGUGAUUCUUAGAAUCUUACAAAUAGUGCUAGCAAUAUAUAUACAUAUAUGUCAUAUAUUUUUGUGUGCAUAUGGAAGUAUAUACAAAGCAAAGAAAACAAUCCAACUUAACUAUACUGUUUCUCUCCCCUCUCUGUGGCUGUGAGUGCUCUUGAGACAAGAACUAGAAGAUCCACACAAAGAUGGUGUGCUGAUGUUGGCCUAGAGUUAAGGUGAAAAGAAGGGAAUAACCUUUUAUUCAGCUCCACAGUGUACCAGGCAUCAAUCUGGGCACUUUAAGUUGUCUUAUUGAAUCUGCAUAAGUUAUGGGGAAUCAGUAUUAUGAUCCCAUUGUAUGGAUAAGGAAACAGGCUCUGAGAGGUUAAAUAAUUUGUCAAAGGACUCAGGACUGGAGCCCAGGUCUGUCUGGGCUGGUGCUCUUUUCACUACAUUACCACAAGUGACAGUGGGAACAGGUUGAAACUGGGAGAUGAAGCUGGAGAAACCUUGGGCAGCACACAUCAGAAAGUAGACUGACACAUCUGUUUAUUGUAGUUGUAUUUUUCCUGCUUUCCAGAAAUGUCACAUGCUGUUAACAGGUUUGAUCGCCUGAGAGAUGUAAACGCAAACUGUGGUGAAAUGAGUGGCUUUAAAGCAGAUUCUGUAUUCAUUCACAUUAAAACAGAGGUGAUCUGUAAACCUUGUUUUUUUCCCCACCAUGAUGACUCUCUUUUAACUAGGCUGAGACCCACAGACCUCCAAAGUGCAUCUCCAGUGGCAGAAUCUCAGCAAAGUUGAACUGGAAGGACCAUUCCUCCAAAAAUGUGCAUCACACAUGUGAGAGGAUUUUUUUCUAAUAGUAACUCGAGGUCUGGGGCUGACAAGAUGGGUUUAGAAAAUCUCUUGCCUCCUCAACAGUUCUGGCUCAUUUUCAGUGGGCUUUCUCUGCUCUCUUUGGCAGAGACGUAUGGGUUCAGUAAAUGCAUACAGUAUGAACUGGACAUUCACCAUAUGUUCUGCAUUUGGAAGAAGAUCAAUAACUUAACAGACGCCAUUCGUGACAUCCCUGGAUACACUACUCACCUCAACCUGACACAGAUCCAAAUUCAGGUCCUUCCUCCAUAUGGCUUCACUAAUUUGUCUGCUCUGGUGGACUUGUGAUUGGAGCGGAAUUCCAUUUGGAAGAUUGAUGAGAGGGCCUUUUGGGGACUUGAAAACAUGACCCUUUUGAAUUUAGUAGAAACUAAGAUUCAAAGUGUGAACAACUCCUUUGAAGGCCUGUCCAACUUGGAAACUUUGCUCCUGAGUCAUAAUCAAAUUACCCCUAUUCACAAAAAUGCCUUUGUCCCUUUUGUCAAAUUGAAAUAUUUAAACUUAUCUCAAAACUUUAUUACUGAUUUUUCUAAUAUUCUGGAAGCAAUCCAACAUCUUCUGCACCUAGAAUAUCUUGAUCUUACUAACAACAGCAUCAUGUCCUUGGAUCACAGCCCCAGGUCAUUGAUCUCCCUGACCCAGCUGAGCCUGCAAGGGAACAAGCUCAUGGAAUUAAAUUUCUCUGCUUUGUCACUACCUAAUCUGACCACUCUGGAUGUCUCUCAUAGCUUUGGAGUCAUUCAGAAUGUGGAUCUGGAAACUAUGCCCCAACUGAGAAGCUUGAAUCUGAGUGGAACAUUGGUGAAACUGGAGAUGCUCUCAGCCAACCACCUACAGAAUCUAAGGGAAAUAGACCUUAGUAACCAGAAGUUUGACGUAGUCACUUAAACCUCAACACACUAUGUCGUCUCCUCCAAAAUUUACCCAUAUUAGAGGCUUUGGUUUUUUGGAAAAAUGCCAUUGAUGCCAGGGGCAUACAGCGCCUUGCCAACUGUACCAGGCUUUUGUCCCUUGACCUGAGCCAUAACAAUGAUCUGGUUCACCUCAAUGACAGUGAAUUUGAUGCUAUGCCCAGCCUCCAAAGGCUGAAUCUAAACAAGUGUCAACUUUCCUUUGUCAUUAACAGGACCUUGAGUACCCUCCAGAACUUGAGAGCCCUAGAUCUGAGCCACAAUAAGUUUAAAAGCUUCCCAGAUUUUGCAUUUUCACCCCUGAGGUAUCUACAAUCUCUCUUUCUCUCUAGAAAUCCCAUCACAGAACUCGAUAGGAUGACCUUCUAUGGGCUGUAUUCAUUGAAGGAGUUCAACUUGGCUGGGUGCUGGAUAGUAAAAAUUGACAGAUACUUCUUUGCUCAAUUUCCAAAUUUAGAGAGUUUAGACCUUGGAUACAACAAUAUUCGGACUCUGAAUUGCAGAACCUUUGAGGGUCUGAAGAAACUCCAAGUUCUCACUCUCUCCCAGAACCGCCUGAAAAACAUAGCAAAAAAAUGCAUUUUCUGGCCUCAGUUGCCUCUAUAAACUUGACUUGAUAUACAAUGUCUUGUCAAAUUUUCAGGCAAUCCUUUUCUUGGGCCUGGAAAAUCUAGAAGUUUUGAAUCUCAGUUUUAAUAAAAUUACAUAUGAAACUACUAGGACCUUGCAAUCUCCUCCAUUUAUGAACCUCAAGUCUUUGAAACAACUCAACCUAGAAGGACAAAUACAUGGGAUUCAGGUUGUUCCAACCAACUUCUUCCAAGGGCUGAAUGGCCUGCAGGAGCUACUCCUAGGGAAAAAUCCCAUGGUAUUCCUAGACUACCGUCAAUUUGACUCACUGAUUAAUCUCACAAAAUUGGAUAUCUCAGGAAGAAAAUCUGGAGACCGAAGUCUCAGUUUAAGUAUUUCCUUAUUCCAAAACCUCAAAAGACUAAAAGUGCUAUGCCUGGAAAACAACAACUUAGAGUCCCUGACUCCUGGCAUGUUCUCUGGCUUAGAAAGCCUUCAGGUCCUCUCUUUAAGAUUCAACAACCUAAGAGUAAUUAAUCAAAGUCAUCUGGAGAAUCUGAAGUCUCUGAAGUACUUUGAUCUUUAUGGAAACAAACUUCAGUGCAGCUGUGACAAUGAAUGUUUCAAGAAUUGAUCCAUAAACACAGCAAAGGUCCAUAUCCCCUACCUCUGUAGCUACCCCUGUCAGCAGGGAAAUAUCCAGAGUUUAUUGAUAGAUUUCAAUGAUUCUAUGUGUAAUUUUGACCUGGGAAAGGUUUACUUCUUCUGUUCCUUCAGUCUGGUCCUCACAACCAUGGUCUCUUCUUGGUUUAUCGCCAAGAUGACUUCAUCGCUAUGGUAUAGGCUGUAUGUAUUUUGAGCCUGGUAUCAGGCCAAGUGGCAUAGGACAGAGAAGGAGUUCAUCUCUGAUGCCUUUGUCUCUUUCACUGCCACUGAUGAGCAGUGGGUAUAUGAAGAGCUUGUUCCAGCCCUGGAAGAAAGAGGUCAGCCUACCUUCAAGCUCUGUCUUCACCACCGGGAUUUUGAACCAGGCAUGGACAUCUUUGAGAACAUCCAGAAUGCCAUCAACACAAGCCAGAAAACAUUGUGUAUGGUCAGUAACCACUACCUGCACAGUGAAUGGUGCCAGCUUGAAGUACAGCUGGCCAGCAUCAAGAUGCUCUAUGAGCAUGAGGAUGUCCUCAUCUUGAUCUUCCUGGAAGAGAUCCCAAACUAUAAGUUAUCCAGCUACCGCCGACUCAGGAAACUUGUCAACAGGCAGACAUUUAUCACCUGGCCAGAGAAUGUCCAUGAGAGGCCACUCUUCUGGGCUCGUAUUAGAAAUGCAUUGGGAAACAAAUCUGUGGAGAAAGACAAUGCACAGCUAACUGUGGCUGAUUGACUGGAAGUCUUUGUGACAUCAAAUCCAGUGUUACCCAAGGUGUGGAAAGGCUAAGAGUGUGACUGAAUGUACCUGCUCUGCAGGCAAGAGGCUGCUCAUGACCAUUAUGUGGUUAAUGUCCAUCAGGCAACUGGAAGGGUGAAGAAGCUAUGCACUUGAUUCUCUAGUUUCAUACACAUCAUACUAAUAUGAUGUUUUCACAUAAUAUCUUUUUUUAACUUUUUUUAUUGAGUUAUAGUCAGUUUAUAAUGUUGUGUCAAUUUUUGGUGUACAGCAUAAUGUUUCAGUCAUACA